This is a long non-coding RNA of Ictalurus punctatus (channel catfish), 456 nucleotides long. The record is from Ensembl. NCBI's taxonomy places the organism in Eukaryota, Metazoa, Chordata, Actinopteri, Siluriformes, Ictaluridae.
GGAAGGUGUCGGUGAGAAGAGUAACUCUGCAUCGUUGUUAAAAAUGAUUUUCCGCCGCAGCGUUAUUCUCCAGCUCACACUAAUAUACAAUUUGCCUUUAGACAUUAGGCUGCGCCCCCUAGUGCUGAGGAGCUGUGACUGUUGUACAUCAUUUUGUGGAUGAUAAACUGGAGGCCGUUAGCUCACGCGUCCUGAGGACAGUUUAGAGACGGUCCCAUAUUUGAGCGAGGUGCCAUAUCCAUUUUUGAUGACUGACAUUAGGGAGCGUCUUAAAAUAGGCAGCCAGAGGGGCAGGAAGAGCACUCAGCCGGAGCCGUCGAGCUAGACACACACACACACACACACACGCUCAGUGUCUGCAGCCAGGAUGUCCAUCGUCAAGAUCCACGCUCGUGAGAUCCUCGACUCCAGAGGAAACCCUACAGUGGAGGUCGACCUUUACACGGAGAAAGGUCU